This 317-nucleotide unclassified non-coding RNA is filed under the name uncultured Thelephorales. RNAcentral describes it as "sequence contains 5.8S rRNA gene, ITS2, 28S rRNA gene". Lineage: Eukaryota; Fungi; Basidiomycota; Agaricomycetes; Thelephorales. The record is from RNAcentral.
AACGCACCUUGCGCCCUUUGGCCAUUCCGAAGGGCAUGCCUGUUUGAGUAUCAUGAACACCUCAACUCUUCACAGCUUGCUGUGGUGAGCUUGGACUCUGGGGGUUUUGCUGGCUCACUUGGAUCAGCUCCCCUCAAAUGAAUCAGCUUUCCAGUGUUUGGUGGCGCCACGGGUGUGAUAACCAUCUACGCUUGUUGGUUCUGCUGCCAGGCAACUCCUUCUGGGGGUUCGCUGGAGCUCACAAAUGUCUUUCUUACAAAAAGACGGCUCUUUGAAUGUUUGAUCUCAAAUCAGGUAGGACUACCCGCUGAACUUAA